Long non-coding RNA from Cucurbita moschata (crookneck pumpkin), 418 nucleotides. RefSeq lists it as uncharacterized. The record is from RefSeq and is a predicted model, not a curated record. NCBI's taxonomy places the organism in Eukaryota, Viridiplantae, Streptophyta, Magnoliopsida, Cucurbitales, Cucurbitaceae. The transcript has 3 exons.
AGAAGCCACCCGCGUUGGCUGCUUAUUUGUUUGCUAUGGAUUUCACAAGCCAUCUUGAAAGCUUUUGUAGCAAUGAGGAAAAAGGAAUAAGCAGAACAAUGUCAGAGGAGGACCACUAAUGGUGGUGGUCAAUAAUGCCUAAAGUGGACACUGGACUAAGAGGCUUUAUUCGAAUUGCAAUAUGUCGUUAUCAAGGGUAGAGGUGGUGUAUAGCUGAAUGGACGAAUGUCUUGUACAGACCAAAAAAGAAGCAUGAAGAUCUAUAAAGGCGAGGUGGGUAAGAAAAAAGUUGGGUCUAUCCAAAUUAUCUUUUUACUGUUGGUUGAUUCUUUUUGACAAUAUAUUGUUAAUUAGUGGCUUUGAACCCGUGAUUGUAAUUGCUAAUCCAGGCAAUUAAAUUAACCUUCUUGUAAUCAUU